GACGAACGCUGGCGGCGUGCUUAACACAUGCGAGUCGAACGGAAAGGCCCUGCUUUUGUGGGGUGCUCGAGUGGCGAACGGGUGAGUAACACGUGAGUAACCUGCCCUUGACUUUGGGAUAACUUCAGGAAACUGGGGCUAAUACCGGAUAGGAGCUCCUGCUGCAUGGUGGGGGUUGGAAAGUUUCGGCGGUUGGGGAUGGACUCGCGGCUUAUCAGCUUGUUGGUGGGGUAGUGGCUUACCAAGGCUUUGACGGGUAGCCGGCCUGAGAGGUUGACCGGCCACAUUGGGACUGAGAUACGGCCCAGACUCCUACGGGAGGCAGCAGUGGGGAAUAUUGCACAAUGGGCGGAAGCCUGAUGCAGCAACGCCGCGUGCGGGAUGACGGCCUUCGGGUUGUAAACCGCUUUCGCCUGUGACGAAGCGUGAGUGACGGUAAUGAGUAAAGAAGCACCGGCUAACUACGUG
This 468-nucleotide ribosomal RNA is filed under the name uncultured bacterium. RNAcentral describes it as "partial 16S ribosomal RNA". It matches the Rfam family "Bacterial small subunit ribosomal RNA", at positions 28 to 507 of the family's 1533-position model. The record is from RNAcentral.